Non-coding RNA from Enterococcus sp. RIT-PI-f, 71 nucleotides. The record is from Rfam. Lineage: Bacteria; Bacillati; Bacillota; Bacilli; Lactobacillales; Enterococcaceae.
CCACAGCUACAACCGCACAGAACAAGUAUUAAGUACGAAAGUCACUUGGGAUGGCGAGUCUAAGUAUAUCA